Long non-coding RNA from Cyanistes caeruleus (blue tit), 281 nucleotides. RefSeq lists it as uncharacterized. The record is from RefSeq and is a predicted model, not a curated record. Lineage: Eukaryota; Metazoa; Chordata; Aves; Passeriformes; Paridae.
UAGCACCAUGUGGGACAAGGUCAGUGCUAAGAACAAGGAUUAUACAAUUAGCUUUAUAGGAGAAGGCUGACAGCAUGCAGAUGGAGGGAUCAGUAAGACAGAUGAAUGAAUUUGCACUGAUUAAACAUACUCCCACCUGCACCUCCAGAGAAAUGAGAAACUGACAUUUAGUUACACACCAUCUCGGUAUCUGCAUGGAGAGGAGGUGAAGGUUCCUUCUUCUCCUGAGCAUCACUGAUUAAAAGAGAAGAGAUUAUCAGUAUAAUACAGAUAUGAUGGAU